AACCACCAUGCCGCCUGCUGGCCCCAAAAUAGAUUAUUAAUCAGUUUUUAGAGCCUUGAAAAUAUUGUGCAUCUAUUUUCCCAAAGUGAAUAAAGGCCAGCUUAUGUGUAGAAGAACUCAGAGAAUUUAUCUCCCCUUUUCCACCAUCAAAAGUAAAAGAUAAUUUUCUUUGUUAUCUUCUACAGGGUAUAAAUUUUUUCUUUCACCCCUUUUUAUCCUAUUUGAUCUCUCAUGGCAUCUUCUCAUUGGAAAAGCCCAGACAUUAUCUAUGACCCCCUACCUCAUCAUUACAUUCGACCAUCUAAAUACCAGGGAUGGGCCAGGACUCUGAGAAGAUCCCUUGAUCCAGAAACCUCUUAUCAGUCACUUGGCUCGUUUGGAUAUGCGGCAUCCUAGUUACCCCCAGGACAAGAAUGUAAUCCAUCCAACCUGGGGAAAGAGAAGUACUCAAAUCUAGUUUACUAGAGAAGCUCUUGCAAAGUUUACAACUUAGGGGCUCAGGUUCUCUAAAAGACUGAAACCUAAUCAUGUAACUACAGAAUGCUUCCUUUCCCCAACACCUUAUCCUACAUCACUAAAGGCUUAGUUACCUGA
Molecule: long non-coding RNA, 594 nt
Organism: Tupaia belangeri chinensis (Chinese tree shrew)
Lineage: Eukaryota; Metazoa; Chordata; Mammalia; Scandentia; Tupaiidae
Exons: 3
Source: RefSeq, a predicted model, not a curated record